This is an RNA transcript of Asparagus officinalis (garden asparagus), 2329 nucleotides long. It is a transcript of the gene named serine/threonine-protein kinase STY17-like, with no coding region annotated. The transcript is spliced from 15 exons. Lineage: Eukaryota; Viridiplantae; Streptophyta; Magnoliopsida; Asparagales; Asparagaceae. The record is from RefSeq and is a predicted model, not a curated record.
CCAAACUAUAAAUAGCAUAAUAAUAGCCAAAAAAUAGCAAAUUAUCCAAAUUCUUCGCCCAGCCACAAAAAUUUCCCCCUUUCCUUCUUCAUCUUCGGUUUUAUUCUUGAUUUUAUUUCAUAUCAUCAUUUUUUUCGAGGGAAAAAGAAUUGCGUUCCUCCGCCAUCGGAUCGAUGGUUCUCGAUCGAAAUCAGGGGUAGAGGAGCGCUGAGAAUCAUAAACCCUCGCCCUAAUUUCGAUUCGAGACCAGAAAUCUCAUCUCCAGUCUCGUCGGAUAUCGAGACGCCACCACCUUCGAUCGCAAUAAGUAAUUCAUCUUCAGCAUAUUGGAUUCAGAGCCAGUGUUUCCUCAGUUUGGGCUUUCACUUUUUUGCUAAGGACAUGGUCUAUUCUUAACAUUGCAAUCAGUGCUUAUAUUAAGCAUAAAAGAUGGAAGUAAAGAAAGUCAUGAGGCGCCAGUUAUCCACUGGUUCCAUCAAGCGGAGCGGAUCACGCUGCUUCAACCGCCAGUUAUCAUUCGAUCCAAGAUUCACUAAGGCCCUUCGAUUCUCUUUUGGACGCCAAUCAUCUCUUGACCCAACCCGGCGAAAGCUCCUGAAAGGCGAGAUAAAGGAGGAGCUGACUGUGCCGGAGAAUCUUGAUUCCACUAUGCAGCUGCUCUUUUUGGCUAGCAAAGGGGAUGUAGAUGGUGUGGAGGAGCUCUUGAAGGAGGGCGUUGAUGUAAAUAGUAUUGAUCUUGAUGGGAGGACUGCUCUCCACAUAGCCUCUUGCGAGGGGAGCCUUGAUGUCGUCAAGUUGUUGCUAUCCUGGAAGGUCAAUAUUGAUGCCAGGGAUCGGUGGGGAAGCACGGCUGCUGCAGAUGCUAAGUUUUAUGGCAAUUGCGAAGUCUACAGUGUACUGAGAGCUCAAGGAGCUACAGUUCCUAAAACCAGGAAAACCCCUAUGACUGUUUCAAAUCCUCGAGAAGUUCCAGAAUAUGAGCUGAAACCAGGAGAGCUUCAGUUUCGCCGUGGUGAUGAAGUUGCAGUGGGCACAUACCAAGUAGCUAAAUGGAAUGGAACGAAAGUCUCAGUGAAAAUACUUGGCAAGGAAAGCUAUUCAGAUCCAGAUAGCGUAAAUUCUUUCAAGAAUGAGUUGACUCUACUAGAAAAGGCGCGACAUCCCAAUGUCGUGCAGUUUGUAGGAGCUGUUACCCAAAAUAUACCGAUGAUGAUUGUUUCAGAGUAUUCUAUGAAUGGCGAUCUUGGGAACUAUUUACAAAAGAAAGGACGUUUGAAGCCACAUAAAGCUCUUAGAUUUGCACUGGAUAUUGCCAGAGGAGUAAAUUACCUCCACCAGUGUAAACCUGACCCGAUAAUUCUUUGUGAUCUAAAGCCAAAAAAUAUAUUGCUGGAUAAUAGUGGCCAGUUGAAGGUAGCAGGCUUUGGUUUGAUCAAGCUGUCAAAAUUAUCCCAUGAUAAAGCAAAGUUAGCACAUCACGCAAGCCAAAUUAACACUUUGGGUUCAUACAUAGCACCUGAAGUUUACAGAGGUGAAAUAUUUGACAGAAGAGUUGAUUCAUUCUCAUUUGGUCUUAUUCUUUAUGAGAUGAAUGAAGGUGCAGCACCCUUUCACUUGAAGGGCCCAGAAGCGGCUCUGAAAAUGAUUUGCUUGGAGAAAAUGAGGCCUCCAUUGAAGUACAAAUCCAAAAAUUAUCCUGUUGAACUUAAGGAGUUGAUUGAAGAGUGCUGGGACCCAGAUCCUGUAGUCAGACCAACAUUUACAGAGAUAAUUAUCCGACUGGAGAAAUUAUACGCCACUUGUGCAAAACAUGGGCGGUGGAAGGAUAACUUUAAGAUUCGUUGGAAAUGAUGGAAGCAUUUCAAUUGUUUGCUUUUGAAUGUUCCUCUGUAUGUAAGAGAGAUACCUCUCAACUAUAACAAAGCUUAUAAUACAAAGUUAUCCUUGGGCUGAACACCUAUAGUUUCAAAUAGAUCCUGCGAUUUCCCCAGGAGAGUAUAUACUUUUGCAUCGAGGGAUCACUUGCAGGUGGAUAUUUUGGCAGAACACUCCCCCGCGCCAAUCAAUUGCAUGCCAAGGGAUCCAUUUGACUGGUUCAAGAGCUCAACCUUGUCAAGAAAAUGGCAACCCACUGGAUUGGCGUCUGGUUGUCCAGUGUCUACGCCUGGAAGGAUCACAAGUAUGCUGGGUUGUCUAGCUUAAUUUCAUUUUUGUUUUGGACUAGUAUUUAUAUUGUAGUGAAACAUGCAUUCAUUUGCAAAUUAAUCGAGACAUAAUAUAACAUGUUUGGUGACGAUGUUUAUCUUUUAUGGAUCAAAUUACUUUUCGA